UACACUCCUGCGGGAGGCAGCAGUGGGGAAUUUUGGACAAUGGGCGAAAGCCUGAUCCAGCAAUGCCGCGUGAGUGAAGAAGGCCUUCGGGUUGUAAAGCUCUUUUGUCAGGGAAGAAACGGUGAAAGCUAAUAUCUUUUGCUAAUGACGGUACCUGAAGAAUAAGCACCGGCUAACUACGUGCCAGCAGCCGCGGUAAUACGUAGGGUGCAAGCGUUAAUCGGAAUUACUGGGCGUAAAGCGUGCGCAGGCGGUUUUGUAAGUCUGAUGUGAAAUCCCCGGGCUCAACCUGGGAAUUGCAUUGGAGACUGCAAGGCUAGAAUCUGGCAGAGGGGGGUAGAAUUCCACGUGUAACAGUGAAAUGCGUAGAUAUGUGGAGGAACACCGAUGGCGAAGGCAGCCCCCUGGGUCAAGAUUGACGCUCAUGCACGAAAGCGUGGGGAGCAAACAGGAUUAGAUACCCCUGUAGUCCCAG
Molecule: ribosomal RNA, 475 nt
Filed under: uncultured organism
Description: partial 16S ribosomal RNA
Rfam family: Bacterial small subunit ribosomal RNA
Source: RNAcentral